GACGAACGCUGGCGGCGUGCUUAACACAUGCAAGUCGAACGGAAGGGCCCUGCUUUUGUGGGGUGCUCGAGUGGCGAACGGGUGAGUAACACGUGAGUAACCUGCCCUUGACUUUGGGAUAACUUCAGGAAACUGGGGCUAAUACCGGAUAGGAGCUCCUUCUGCAUGGUGGGUUUUGGAAAGUUUCUGCGGUUGGGGAUGGACUCGCGGCUUAUCAGCUUGUUGGUGGGGUAGUGGCUUACCAAGGCGUUGACGGGUAGCCGGCCUGAGAGGGUGACCGGCGAAAAUGGGAGUGAGAAACGGACGAGACUCAUAAGGGAGGAAGCAGUGGGGAAUAUUGAAAGAUGGGAGAAAGACUGAUGAAGCGACGCCGCGUGAGGGAUGACGGCAUUAGGGUUGUAAACAGCUUUAAGCAGGGAAGAAGAGAAAGUGACGGUACCUGAAGAAGAAGAACCGGCUAACUACGUG
Molecule: ribosomal RNA, 468 nt
Filed under: uncultured bacterium
Lineage: Bacteria
Description: partial 16S ribosomal RNA
Rfam family: Bacterial small subunit ribosomal RNA
Source: RNAcentral